This 253-nucleotide ribosomal RNA is filed under the name uncultured bacterium. RNAcentral describes it as "partial 16S ribosomal RNA". It matches the Rfam family "Archaeal small subunit ribosomal RNA", at positions 474 to 727 of the family's 1478-position model. The record is from RNAcentral.
UACCAGCACCCCGAGUGGUCGGGACGUUUAUUGGGCCUAAAGCAUCCGUAGCCGGUUCUACAAGUCUUCCGUUAAAUCCACCUGCUUAACAGAUGGGCUGCGGAAGAUACUAUGGAGCUAGGAGGCGGGAGAGGCAAGCGGUACUCGAUGGGUAGGGGUAAAAUCCGUUGAUCCAUUGAAGACCACCAGUGGCGAAGGCGGCUUGCCAGAAUGCGCUCGACGGUGAGGGAUGAGAGCUGGGGGAGCAAACCGG